Molecule: long non-coding RNA, 448 nt
Filed under: Dromaius novaehollandiae (emu)
Lineage: Eukaryota; Metazoa; Chordata; Aves; Casuariiformes; Dromaiidae
Description: lncRNA (ENSDNVG00000009453.1)
Source: RNAcentral
AGCCCGCCCGCACCCCCCACCGAAGGCUGGUGYCCGUCCGCGGCGGAAGGCGCGCGCUCACCCGCCUCGCUGGUGGCGAGGGGUGGCGGGGGCGAUCGCAGGGUCUCGUGAGACUAUACUGCUUCCUGGCUGAAUGGAAAAGAAGUAGCCAUUGAAGUACAGAGCCUAAGGCUAAUUCCUGCUCUAACUCCCAUUGAAACCAACAGGAUAUCAUUGCUUAAAUAAUUUAGACAAUUAAGCUUUUGGAUGCUACAAUGAGGAGGACCAUGCAAGUGCACUGAGAACAUCCCACCCGUCAACUCAGUAUCUUUCCAGCCCACAUCAGUGUGAGGUCAGUAGGACAGGAGAGAAUCCCGACAAAGAGACAGAACCAUCAGUUACUGCAAUGAGAGCGAAGCAUGGAGGGAGGCAGGACAGACGUGGAGAGAGGUAGAUCCUAUCCAUUGUC